This 253-nucleotide ribosomal RNA is filed under the name uncultured bacterium. RNAcentral describes it as "partial 16S ribosomal RNA". It matches the Rfam family "Bacterial small subunit ribosomal RNA", at positions 524 to 776 of the family's 1533-position model. The record is from RNAcentral.
UACGUAGGGGGCAAGCGUUGUCCGGAAUCAUUGGGCGUAAAGAGCGUGUAGGCGGCCCGAUAAGUCCGCUGUGAAAGUCCAGGGCUCAACCCUGGAAUGCCAGUGGAAACUGUCGGGCUAGAGUCCGGAAGAGGUGAGUGGAAUUCCUGGUGUAGCGGUGAAAUGCGCAGAUAUCAGGAGGAACACCGAUGGCGAAGGCAGCUCACUGGGACGGUACUGACGCUGAGACGCGAAAGCGUGGGGAGCAAACGGG